Molecule: ribosomal RNA, 877 nt
Filed under: Serpula lacrymans
Lineage: Eukaryota; Fungi; Basidiomycota; Agaricomycetes; Boletales; Serpulaceae
Description: eukaryotic LSU rRNA
Rfam family: Eukaryotic large subunit ribosomal RNA
Source: RNAcentral
AACAAGGAUUCCCCUAGUAACUGCGAGUGAAGCGGGAAGAGCUCAAAUUUUAAAUCUGGCGGUCCUCGUGGUCGUCCGAGUUGUAAUCUAGAGAAGCGUUUUCCGCGCUGGACCGUGUACAAGUCUCCUGGAACGGAGCGUCAUAGAGGGUGAGAAUCCCGUCUCUGACACGGACUACCAGGGCUUUUGUGAUGCGCUCUCGACGAGUCGAGUUGUUUGGGAAUGCAGCUCAAAUUGGGUGGUAAAUUCCAUCUAAAGCUAAAUAUAGGCGAGAGACCGAUAGCGAACAAGUACCGUGAGGGAAAGAUGAAAAGAACUUUGGAAAGAGAGUUAAACAGUACGUGAAAUUGCUGAAAGGGAAACGCUUGAAGUCAGUCGCGUUGGCCGGGGAUCAGCCUUGCAAUCUUGUUGGGUGCAUUUCCUGGUUGACGGGUCAGCAUCAAUUUUGACCGUCGGAGAAGGGUUGAGGGAAUGUGGCAUCCUUCGGGGUGUGUUAUAGCCUUUGAUCGUAUGCGACGGUUGGGAUUGAGGAACUCAGCAUGACCCCUCGUGGGUUUGGGGCUUCGGCUCACAUCCAUGCUUAGGAUGCUGGCAUAAUGGCUUUAAGCGACCCGUCUUGAAACACGGACCAAGGAGUCUAACAUGCCCGCGAGUGUUUGGGUGUUUAAAACCCGAGCGCGUAAUGAAAGUGAAAGUUGAGACCUCUGUCGUGGAGGGCAUCGACGCCCGGACCAGAACUUUUGUGACGGCCCUGCGGUAGAGCGUGUAUGUUGGGACCCGAAAGAUGGUGAACUAUGCCUGAAUAGGGUGAAGCCAGAGGAAACUCUGGUGGAGGCUCGUAGCGAUUCUGACGUGCAAAUCGAUCGUCGAAUUUGGG